GACGAACGCUGGCGGAGUGCUUAACACAUGCAAGUCGAACGGAAAGGCCCUGCUUGCAGGGUACUCGAGUGGCGAACGGGUGAGUAACACGUGGGUGAUCUGCCCUGCACUUCGGGAUAAGCCUGGGAAACUGGGUCUAAUACCGGAUAGGAGCCAUUUUUAGUGUGAUGGUUGGAAAGUUUUUUCGGUGUAGGAUGAGCUCGCGGCCUAUCAGCUUGUUGGUGGGGUAAUGGCCUACCAAGGCGGCGACGGGUAGCCGGCCUGAGAGGGUGGACGGCCACAUUGGGACUGAGAUACGGCCCAGACUCCUACGGGAGGCAGCGGUGGGGAAUAUUGCACAAUGGGCGCAAGCCUGAUGCAGCGACGCCGCGUGGGGGAUGACGGCCUUCGGGUUGUAAACUCCUUUCGCUAGGGACGAAGCUUUUUGUGACGGUACCUAGAUAAGAAGCACCGGCUAACUACGUG
This 465-nucleotide ribosomal RNA is filed under the name uncultured bacterium. RNAcentral's name for it is "partial 16S ribosomal RNA". It matches the Rfam family "Bacterial small subunit ribosomal RNA", at positions 28 to 507 of the family's 1533-position model. The record is from RNAcentral.